RNAcentral lists this ribosomal RNA (447 nucleotides) under uncultured bacterium. Its description in RNAcentral is "SSU rRNA". It matches the Rfam family "Bacterial small subunit ribosomal RNA", at positions 26 to 518 of the family's 1533-position model. The record is from RNAcentral.
AGAACGAACGCUGGCGGCAGGCUUAACACAUGCAAGUCGAGCGCUGUAGCAAUACAGAGCGGCAGACGGGUGAGUAACGCGUGGGAACAUACCCCAAGGUUCGGAAUAACUCAGGGAAACUUGAGCUAAUACCGGAUAUCUCCGAGAGGAGAAAGAUUUAUCGCCUUGGGAUUGGCCCGCGUUCGAUUAGCUAGUUGGUGUGGUAAUGGCGCACCAAGGCGACGAUCGAUAGCUGGUCUGAGAGGAUGAUCAGCCACAUUGGGACUGAGACACGGCCCAAACUCCUACGGGAGGCAGCAGUGGGGAAUAUUGGACAAUGGGCGCAAGCCUGAUCCAGCCAUGCCGCGUGAGUGAUGACGGCCUUAGGGUUGUAAAGCUCUUUCACCCACGACGAUAAUGACGGUAGUGGGAGAAGACGCCCGGCUAACGUUCGCGCCAGCACGCCGC